Molecule: ribosomal RNA, 254 nt
Filed under: uncultured bacterium
Lineage: Bacteria
Description: partial 16S ribosomal RNA
Rfam family: Bacterial small subunit ribosomal RNA
Source: RNAcentral
UACGUAGGGUGCGAGCGUUGUCCGGAAUUAUUGGGCGUAAAGAGCUCGUAGGCGGUGUGUCACGUCGUUCGUGAAAACCUGCAGCUUAACUGUGGGCGUGCGGUCGAUACGGGCAUCACUGGAGUUCGGCAGGGGAGACUGGAAUUCCUGGUGUAGCGGUGAAAUGCGCAGAUAUCAGGAGGAACACCGGUGGCGAAGGCGGGUCUCUGGGCCGAUACUGACGCUGAUGAGCGAAAGCGUGGGGAGCAAACAGG